This is a long non-coding RNA of Helianthus annuus (common sunflower), 3466 nucleotides long. RefSeq lists it as uncharacterized. The transcript has 3 exons. NCBI's taxonomy places the organism in Eukaryota, Viridiplantae, Streptophyta, Magnoliopsida, Asterales, Asteraceae. The record is from RefSeq and is a predicted model, not a curated record.
CACUCCGGCGGCCGCUGUGGUAUCGAUGACGACGGUGCUUUAUCUACUUUAGGGUGUUUAACCAACUGUCCAAAGCUUCCAUUACCAUUCCUCCAACUUCACGUCUUCGGUGUUUAUCUCCAGUCCCAGAUCCCAAAAUCUGAGUGUUUGCCUGCCAUUCAUUUUUCAUACCCACGGGACACCAUCACUUCCACCCUUGAACCCACCGCUGCUUCGCAAGCCAAAAAUCCAACAUUACCACUACAGUUAAGGGUUUUUUCCACUUAAUUUGGUAAUUUAAUGCAAGCUCUGGAGUGCGUUGCUGAUGUUAAAAAGGUAUAAUUUCUGUUUUUUAAUAUUAAUGUUUAUUUUAUAAGUUGGUGAAGUGGGUUUUGUAUGGUAACCAUGUUGUUUGUUUGGGACGGGCAUUUUUUAGUUUUUCGUCUUCCAUAUCAAAUGGAUAUGGUGGCAUUCUUUGGAUGCAAAGGUCAACUGCUUUUGGUUUUUGUUACAGUUAGUUGUAAAAAAUCGUGCUUACCCAAUCUAUGUUUAGGUUACUGAUAUUGCACUUUUGUGUUCUAUUGUUAUAAUCUGAUGUGGAACACUUUAAGGAGAAUGUGUAACAUGAAAAUUUAGGCAAUUGGAAACGUUGGUUCCUGGCCUAAUCCACUUAUUCAUAAACCUGGUGUAUGGAUUUUGCCUCCAAAAAGGUGAAAUCUUAAUUACAAAUGUACAUACUUUUUGGUGUCUUUAAAAAUCUUUAUUUUCAGUAUUUAUUUCGAUUGAUCUCAUAUGCAUCUCUCUCCAAAGGUAUGAGGAAAUCAAAGCUUACCACAUGCAGCAUUACUAAUAAAGUGAUAAAGGAAUUUGGUACAUAUUUCUAUCUUUUUUACACUUCAAUUUGAUAAAUGUUUUUUAGAUUUCUUAUUUAUACUUAUGGAACUCCUCACUACUACUGAUAACUUUGAGGGGGCUUCAUCUAUGAGAUAUCGCAGUCAUUCCUUGAUAAAUCUGGAUAUGACGCCCGGAUGCUAUACAGUUUUGAUCUACAUACAUCAAACUGUCUACUACUCUAAUGUGCAUCUCUUUAUUUUUGUUAUAUUGUGUGGUUAUACUUACGCCCAAAGAAAGGGAAUUAAUGUCCUUGCUGACAUUGAUGUUCCUGCCCAUGCUCGAGCUCAUAAUCCUUAUAUAUAAAAUCGGACUGUCUACUACUCUAAUGUGCAUGUCUUUAGGAUUAUUUUCCUAAGCUACCAUCUGACGCAUACUACUCUGACCUGCAAUACGAGUCACCAUCUUUCUCUUAAGAACCAUUAAAGGGCACUGCUUUUGAACUUUGCUUUGAGCCUCCAAAACGUUUGAGCCGGCAUAAAUAAUUUAUGUUAUUGGAAGUUUUUGAAGAAAAAUCAAAGUGGAAUAAGGGAAAAUAGUAAGAAUAUUGAUGAAGAAAGUAGAGGGUGAUGAUGAGGAAGAGAGGUCUUCGUGGCUUGAUUUGACCAAACUUUUCUUCUCUUUUUCUUACAUCAGCCUGUUAUGAACGACACUAGCGUGGCCCAGCCCAUUAACCAACAACAACCCAGACGUGGUACUCGCCCCAUUCAGGUACCCAACCAUUUGAAAGAUUAUGUGGGUCCGUCCACCUCAGCAAGAAAGAAUUAGGCCAGGGAAGCAUGAUGAAUGCAUGUAUAAGGAGUGUAUGAGAGAGAGAGUCAGUUAUGCUAGUAUUUGUUAAGUUGUGAGUCUCUUCUUCCCACCCCAUUCUCUCUGUAAUUUCUCUCCUCAUCUUAUCUUGUACUCCAUUUCAGUUUGAAUAAAAUUCCCUGGUUUCCCUUAUAAUUUCCCAUUUCCAUUAAGUUUGCACUUCAUUAAGUUAAAAACUUUUCUUCUCUUUUUCUUACAUCAGCCACUAUUUCCAUUUCCCUAUAUAUUUUUUGGUUGAAGCCUUAAAAGGAUUGAGAAGCCCAAGUUUUUUUUAAAUAACUAUUAAAUUGUGCCACUUGAACAUUUUUAUCAAUUUUUGGGAGCUAUGAAAAAAAGCACUUCAGCAAGUGCAAUGAAGAAUGUACUUUUAAAGCUUUCAUAUGUUUACCAGUGUGUCAAUUGUGAUUACUUUCAUCUUCAGCCGAUUGGAAGCACCCUUUCUAAGGUAGGUUGGACUUCUAUUCUUCUUUCUUAACAAGCCUAGGGCUGAGUUAACAUACCUACUACAGGUAUGUUGCUUAACUACUUCAGUGAUUGCAAUUUUAAUUCAGGGAAUUUGUUGUCAUAACUCUCUUUUGUGAAUUAUGUGAACCUGAAAGCAAUGAUUCAUGUUUAUAACAAAAUAGGCAAGUAUAUUUGUAAUUUGGCAGUUUUUUGUCUUCAUAGUGAAGUUCAGGGUUAAUGAGGUGUUAUGAGCCAUUAUUGGAAGGUUAUAAGUUGUAACAACCAGUGUUUAGGCUAAUUAAUGAAAUAUUUAGUUGUGCAUGAGCGAUGGAUCCACUUGAGAAAACGGACACGCCAUAUGCUUGUCGGUACUAUGGUGUGUGUGGAAAGCACGUAACGAAUUAGUAUUCCACCAGAUUAGAUGGUCAGUUCAGAAAAUUGCGGGUGAAAUUAAGGCCCUCAGUUUUCUAUGGGUAAAGGCGAGGUCAAAGCAAGAGGGGCUCGACUGGGAAAUUUGGCGCGGGUUUUAUGUUCGCAGAGUAGGAUGGUAAUUUCUUUGUUUGUUUUGGUUUUGGGUUUUGCUGUGUUAUUGGUGGCUGUAGGAUUGAUCUGUUUGUUUUGGCUUUGGUUUUUUGUUGUAUUGUUAGUGGUUGCAUGCAAGAUUGAUCUGGGGAACCUUUUGUAAAUAUUUGGUUAGUAACAUUCUAACCAGUUGUGAAUAAAAAAUUUUGUUGGCCUUCCAAAAAAAAGUAUAUUAGUGAUAAUGACCAAUUAUACAUAUUAAGUAAAAUUAACUAAGCGUGUUGGUAAGUUUGUGUCUGGCUCGGGAUUUCAAUUCCAUCCAAGGUUCAAAUCUAUGGGUCAGAUGUUGCAGCAUAGCCUCAAUCAAAAUAUGUUGAUCAAGAAAAAAGAGAUGAUUUACACCGCUUUUCUUUAUGACUACUUGGAGAAUCUGGAUUCGAAGGAACAAAAAAGUCUUUAAAUCCAGAAAUGUCUCGGGCCACUGGUGUUGUAGAUGAGAUAAAAGAGGACAGUUACUCGUGGAUGGCGAAAAGAUACAAGUGUGCAACCUUAAGCCUAUAAGAUUGGAGCAAGUUUGAGAGAAUCGCCUGUUGACUCUGUCGGUUUUGGGCCCCUUUGGGUUUUGUACUCUACAUGCAUUAAAUGCUUCCUAAGUCUUUAUGUUUGUUUUCUUCUUUGAGUGAAUAAAAGCUUGCUUUGGUUGGUAAAAAAGAAACUAAUUGCGUUGGUUUUGUAACUUCAUUUGAUACGUUAAGCACCCGUGGGGUAGAACCGAUUAUUUUUUUUAGGAUAUGAUCUAACAUGAUUAAGUUGAAUUGUU